RNAcentral lists this long non-coding RNA (3506 nucleotides) under Sus scrofa (pig). RNAcentral describes it as "lncRNA (ENSSSCG00065015805.1)". Lineage: Eukaryota; Metazoa; Chordata; Mammalia; Artiodactyla; Suidae. The record is from RNAcentral.
UUUUUCCUUAAUGUGGCAACUAGAAUGUUUAGCAUUACCUAGGUAACUUAAAGGAAGGCACCAAAUCAAUCCUGGAAAACUGAAAAGCACCGUUUUACAGCAAGCCCAGGAGAAAGAAGUAGGAGGUUAUGAUGUAAAGGAGACAAGGAGGAGAAAGCCUAAGGAGUCUGGUAACUUCAAGGAUAACCUAGAAGAUGAGGGAGAAGGAGUUCCCAUCGUGGUGCAGCAGAAACGAAUCCGACUAGCGAACCAUGAGGUUACGGGUUCGAUCCCUGGCCUCGCUCAUGGGUUAAGGGUCCAGCAUUGCUGUGAGCUGUGGUGUAGGUCACAGAUAUGACAGGGAUCCUGCAUUGUUGUGGCUGUGGUAUAGGCCAGGAGCUGCAGUUCUGAUUCAACCCCUAGUCUGGGAACUUCCAUGUGCCUCAGGUAUGGCCCUAAAAAGACAACAACAACAACAAAAACAACAACCAAAAAAACACAAAUAAAACAGGGUUUAGGAGAAGUAGACCAAGGCUUCACAGCAGCCAUUUACCAUCAUGUAGACUGAAAUUAGGUAGAGAAAGGCCAUGAGUCAAACCACUUCGACAGUAAGUUGUACACAGAGGACACGUUAGGAAGGUCUCUGGUGAGGCAGGAGGACAGGGAGGCUUUAAUGCCUAAUUGUGUCAGGUCAGAGAAACCGGUUGACUUAACAUUUUGGUUUGUGCUAGCUUCUCAAUGUUCCACUAGUAGACUCAGAGCUCUAAGUACUUGGGUUUCUAUAUAGUCCUAGGUGAUAACAGAUCAUUUUGUGUUUAGGUACAUCUGCAUCCUCUUCUUAUGUGGUUCUAUAUAUACAUUGACCUCUUCAAGGGCAAGGAUCUUCUACUUCCCAGAAAUGUACCUUGAACUUGACUGGAUGGUCAAGAAAUCUACCUUGACCAUCAACCUUGAUCUGACUUCUAUUUCUACUUAAAUAUACCCACUUCUUAUCUUUUCUCCAAAUUUUCUUUUUUUUUCCUCUGUACGUCUUUAUUGAGAUAGAAAUGACAUACAACAAAUUGCACAUAUUUAAAUUGUACACAUUAAUGUUUUGAAGCAUGUACAAAUCCUUAACAUCAUCAACACAGUCAGGUGAACACAUCCAUAAUUCCCCCAAAUAUUCCCAGGCCCUUUUGUAAAGUAAUGCAUGCCUCCACCCACUACCUCUCCCCCUACAUUCCAGGAACCACUGGUCUGCUUUUUAUUUCAUUUCAUAUUUUUAUAGAGUUUUAUAUCAAUAAAAUUGCACAGAGCACAUUCUUUCGUUGUAGAGGGGUCUGGCUUCUUCAUUUUACACAAUGUAAUUACUUGAGAGUUUACUCGUAUGUUAUUUUUCAUCAGUUAUUGAUUCGUUUUUUCAUUUUGUAACCUUUUAUUGGCAUACAGUUGAUUUACAAGGUUGUGAUAAUUUCUGCUGUUUAGCAAAGUGAUUCGGUUACCAUAUACACAUAUCCAUUCUCUUUCAGAUUCUUUCCCCACAUAGAUUAUCACAGAAUAUUGGGUAGAGUUCUCUGUGCUAUACAGCAGGUCCCCAUUGGCCAAUUAUUCCAUACACCACAGUGUGCAUAUGCCCAUCUCAAACCUCUAGUCCAUCUGCCCCCACCUGUCCCCUUUGGUAACCAUAGUUUGUUUUCAAAGUCUGUGAGUCUGAUUCUGUUCUGAGAAUAAGUUCACUUGUAUCCUCUUUCUAGAUUUCACAUAUAAGUGACAUAAUAUGAUGUUUAUCCUUCACUGUCUACCUUCACUUGGUAUGAUAAUUUCUAGAUCCAUCCAUGUAGAUUAAUCUCUAAGUGCUGUCUCGGUUCUAGAAGGGUCUCUCACACUAUGGAGACCAAAUGCUUUGGCUCUUGGGAAGACAAUGUCACAGUGUUAUCCCAGUCUCCUGACUACUUCAAGUUUCAGAAGCAAAUCCUGCAGCUUGAGGAUCAAUGAAGACCCACAACACCCUAGGGACUGCACUGCGCUUUCUCUUCUUUCUCUAACCUCAAAUUCCAUAUUCCUCCAUAGAUGUGCUAUAUUCAUUCAUGCAAUGGCCAGAAGUCCAUGUACAAAGUAUGGCGGAUGCUUUCAGUUUUACUCUAAAGACUCCCUAGGUUAAAAACAUAUAGUUUACAUAAAACUUUGCCAAGAACUCCCAAAUAUGGCAGUUCUGUAAGAGCCUUUCAGUUUUUCUGAACUCAUGUCCCCAUGUCUUAUAAUCAUGUAAAAUGUCAAAAGGAUCUUAAAAUAUCAGCUAGUUUUAACAAACUCUUCAAAAUCAUGUUAUGUAGCUUUUUUUUUUUUAAUAAAAAGAAUGAAGAAAGAAAUCCUAACACUGUAUUAUCAAAUGGUUAGGGUAUCAUCAAAUUAACUCUGAAUAAAUUAGAUAUUUCUCUUACCUCUGUGGUUUGUGUACCGCCCCCUUCUACAAAUUAAAAAAAUAUACAUAUAUAAGUACAGACAUACAUAUAAAGUUAUUUAAAAUAUGGCAGAUUAUCUAAUAUUGUAUCCCAUUUAAGUGCUUCUCAAAGUUUUUCAGGCUUCCCAGGGUUGAUCAUUUUGUGCAAGUUUUGGAUCAAAGCCCAGAGCACUUGGUCUAUAUAAUAACAAAAAUAAUGCCCACCAUCACAAAGCAUCCAGCAAAUUCAAGUUUGUCAAAAUAGACCAAAAGCUCUCCCUGUUCACAACCCAGCCUGAGCCUCAAUCUAGUGCCACCUAGGGAGAAUUCCAAACAGAUUGCAUAAUCUAGAGCUGUUGUGCUCCAAGGGGGUCAGGGGCAGUGAACUGUGAACUGUCAGCUAUUGGAAGGGGAAAAAAACCACCUUAGAAAAUAGAGUAUGGCUCCUGACUGGCUAUGAAUCGAAGCAAUCUUACUUCCGGCUCUGUAACAGAAUUCUAUCAUCUCUAAUCCCUCAACAAACAACAAAGAUGCUCCCCAAACAUCCUGUCUUCCAAGUCAUCCUGGAAUUUAACUUUUUCCCCCUCUGUUGGCUAUUUAGUUUUCAGAUUUUUAUGGAUUUCAGAGAUUCACAAAUUGAUUUGGAAAUGUCAACAGACCUAUGAGUUUGCUUCUAUUUAUAGUGCAGUGGUGGUAGGUGGGAGGAGAAGAGGCUGAUGGGAACUUUCAGGAAGUCAAGAGAACAGAAAAACAAGUCUUCUCAGUGGCCUUAAACCCACAUGGUAGACACAUAGCUUCUACAUUCAGCCUAGUAGAUUAGAUGUGAAUCAGCCCUGAAGAAGCUGGUGUGGAUCUGGGGAGGAAAAGACUUUCUUAACUAGCAGCACACAAAGGAAUUAGAUGGUGGGAGACCAGUAUUUUAGCAAUAACUGCACAAUUUCCAAGUUAGCUUGGCUUUUUUUUUUUUUUUAAUAGUCUCAGCAACCCCACACAAUAUUCAAACAAGCAAGUGCAAACAGUCUCCCAAGUAAUUCAGGAGUGAUGCCUGGGCUCUUUAUAUAUGAAAGGAAAAGACAAAUUGAAUAACUCAGGACUGCCAAACUACCAU